AUAAACCUGUUCAGAGCAAGUCAAUUGGAAUGAUACAGAGAAGAUUAGCAUGGCCCCUGCGCAAGGAUGACACGCAAAUUUGUGAAGCAUUCCAUAUUUUA
Small nuclear RNA from Terrapene triunguis (Three-toed box turtle), 101 nucleotides. The record is from Ensembl. Lineage: Eukaryota; Metazoa; Chordata; Testudines; Emydidae.